Molecule: long non-coding RNA, 211 nt
Filed under: Nicotiana benthamiana
Lineage: Eukaryota; Viridiplantae; Streptophyta; Magnoliopsida; Solanales; Solanaceae
Description: long non-coding RNA (NBEN_LNC018278)
Source: RNAcentral
GAGUCAUUGUUUUACUCUUUCUAUCUGCAUGACUGCUUUCUUAUGAUGAGUAGUGCCCAUCACUUGCCUCUCUGUGCCCUGUAUGAAGGAGCAUCCACUGCGCUUACUAGUGGGUAUGAUUAAAGUCAAGAGCGGGUCUCUCAGAAAAAAGGACCUUAUCUGUAUCUGUCUCUCUUACUCGAACUAGCCACCCCUUGGGAACCGUCUCCCC